RNAcentral lists this ribosomal RNA (476 nucleotides) under uncultured bacterium. Its description in RNAcentral is "bacterial SSU rRNA". It matches the Rfam family "Bacterial small subunit ribosomal RNA", at positions 917 to 1382 of the family's 1533-position model. The record is from RNAcentral.
GGGCUCACACAAGCGGUGGAGCAUGUGGCUUAAUUCGAAGCAACGCGAAGAACCUUACCCGGGUUUGACAUGCAUGGAUGUUUUCCGGCGAUGAGUUGGAAAAUUACCCGCAAGGGUGAAACAUGCACAGGUGUUGCACGGCUGUCGUCAGCUCGUGCUGUGAAGUGUCGGGUUAAGUCCCUUAACGAGCGAAACCCUUGCCGUUAGUUACUAACGGGUAAAGCCGAGGACUCUAGCGGGACUGCCGGCGUUAAGCCGGAGGAAGGUGGGGAUGACGUCAAGUCAUCGUGGCCCUUAUGCCCGGGGAUGCACACGUGCUACAAUGGCGACGACAAAGGGCUGCAAGACCGUAAGGUGGAGCAAAUCCCAAAAAAGUCGCCCCAGUUCGGAUUGGAGGCUGCAAUUCGCCUCCAUGAAGUUGGAAUCGCUAGUAAUCGCGUAUCAGCUACGACGCGGUGAAUGUGUUCCUGAGCCUU